RNAcentral lists this ribosomal RNA (254 nucleotides) under uncultured bacterium. RNAcentral describes it as "partial 16S ribosomal RNA". It matches the Rfam family "Bacterial small subunit ribosomal RNA", at positions 524 to 776 of the family's 1533-position model. The record is from RNAcentral.
UACGAAGGGGGCUAGCGUUGUUCGGAGUUACUGGGCGUAAAGGGCGCGUAGGCGGCGCACCAAGUCAGGCGUGAAAGCCCUGGGCUCAACCCGGGAAUUGCGCUUGAGACUGGUGUGCUUGAGUACGGGAGAGGAUAGUGGAAUUCCCAGUGUAGAGGUGAAAUUCGUAGAUAUUGGGAAGAACACCGGUGGCGAAGGCGGCUAUCUGGACCGUAACUGACGCUGAGGCGGCGAAAGCGUGGGGAGCAAACAGG